AUGAUGGUUUACUUUUAGGAAUAGUGACUUAGAUAGAGAGUUUUCUUAUUGGCAUUCAUACCACAUUUUCUUAUAUUAUUCUGCUCAUUAUUGAAGUCAAUGAUAUGAUCUAAUUAUUCAAGGAUUUUACUUUGCAAUGACUACAAUGGUGAUACAUUUUAAUAUAUACAGCCUCCUCUAUUAAUAACUACUGUUUCCUUUGAAUCUUAAAAAAGAAAUAAGAUAAAACAAAUGUUUG
RNAcentral lists this long non-coding RNA (238 nucleotides) under Mytilus galloprovincialis (Mediterranean mussel). The record is from RNAcentral. Lineage: Eukaryota; Metazoa; Mollusca; Bivalvia; Mytilida; Mytilidae.